GCCUGGCUGGCUCAGUGGGUGGAGCAUGGGACUCCUGACCUCGGGGCUGUGAGUUCAAGCCCCACGCUAGGUG
RNAcentral lists this transfer RNA (73 nucleotides) under Felis catus (domestic cat). It matches the Rfam family "tRNA". Rfam says of the family: Transfer RNA (tRNA) molecules are approximately 80 nucleotides in length. Lineage: Eukaryota; Metazoa; Chordata; Mammalia; Carnivora; Felidae. The record is from Rfam by way of RNAcentral.